UACGUAGGGUGCAAGCCGUUGUCCGGAAUUAUUGGGCGUAAAGGAGCUACGUAGGCGGGUUUGUCGCGAUCUGCUAGUGAAAACCCGAGGCUCAACCUCGGGCCUGCAGUGGGUACGGGCAGACUAGAGUGCGGUUAGGGGGAGAUUGGAAUUCCUGGUGUAGCGGUGGAAUGCGCAGAAUAUCAGGAGGAACACCAAUGGCGAAGGCAGAUCUCUGGGCCGUAACUGACGCUGAGGAGCGAAAGCAUGGGGAGCGAACAGG
RNAcentral lists this ribosomal RNA (262 nucleotides) under uncultured bacterium. Its description in RNAcentral is "partial 16S ribosomal RNA". It matches the Rfam family "Bacterial small subunit ribosomal RNA", at positions 524 to 776 of the family's 1533-position model. The record is from RNAcentral.